CGCCGGAAGCCGGCGCCGCGUCUGUCUCCUGGGCUCCUGCGGUUGCCUUGACUACGGAGGGCGCGGUGGAACGACGGAAGCUGCGAGUUUGUAGGAGCCGAGGAGCCGGGAGCAUGAGGACCUGGUGUCUGUGUCAGAUUUGUACUUGCGGUCCCUUUCCAGCUGUCAGGAAUUUUCAGUCUUCAUGAUGUUGGAGGAUCCCUUUUCUUCAGGCAGUUAAAUGAUCCAGGGAACUGAGGCAUUGCCAAAGCAAGAGGAAUCUUCUCUGGGCUUUGAACGUUGGUAAUGCUUCCCACUGACAUGUCUCUUGCUGAAUUCUAAGAAUCCCCUCAGCAGUGGUGCCACCCCAACUUUCAAGUGUAUGUUUGAGGUACAAGAAUCUUGGCAAAGCCGGGAGCCACUAUUGAAGGAUUCACCUGACCAACUCUUGAGAUCUGGCCACCACCUGCAACUGUGAUAGAGUGGGGCAACGAUCCCUGCUCUUCUAAGAGAACAAACUCAUUGAUGUUUCAGUACACUGCCUCUAUCUAUCAGGAUCAAGAUUGUUGGGCCCCUUUGGGAAAUUUUGACCUGUGUCUGUUACUUUUUCAUCUUGCUAUUUUAAUCUUUUUUUUUUUUCCUACUAUGUAACUAAAAAUUUCCAAAUGUCUAUUUCUUUAUCAGUCAAAACUGCCAUCUAUUAUAUUUUCCUUUGCAGUAUGCACAUACAAUUGCUCAUGUGAGUUAAACUGUGAUGAGUUUUUAAUGUUUGCAUAGGCGACAUCAUUGUCCACAUGGAACCACAAGGAUUUAUGAAAAUUCUGGCGGGUCUUGUGCCACAACUGAAUAUUUGGAAAAAUAUCCUACAUAUGGCAGUGUUCUUCCAUCUCAGAGUCUGAAGCCCAAGGAAGAAUUUCGAGCGUAUCGUGGCAAGAUGGAAGGAAUAACAACAUUUAAGUAAAUAUCAAGAAACAAUUUGCUUAUUUUUUCACCACUCUCCUGGUUUUAAUAAAGUUUUCCUUAAACUAUUUAGUUGAUUUAAGUUGAACCAAUCUAAAAAGCAAGAAACUGGUUGAGUCACAACUUGAGAAAACCAGAAAGAUGAGAACUAAGCUAAAAUGACAAAAAUGAGAAUGUAGAAGGGAAAUAUAAAAAGUUCUGUUGAUUUUUUAA
Long non-coding RNA from Capra hircus (goat), 1152 nucleotides. RefSeq lists it as uncharacterized. NCBI's taxonomy places the organism in Eukaryota, Metazoa, Chordata, Mammalia, Artiodactyla, Bovidae. The record is from RefSeq and is a predicted model, not a curated record. The transcript has 2 exons.